RNAcentral lists this ribosomal RNA (492 nucleotides) under uncultured bacterium. RNAcentral's name for it is "partial 16S ribosomal RNA". It matches the Rfam family "Bacterial small subunit ribosomal RNA", at positions 29 to 507 of the family's 1533-position model. The record is from RNAcentral.
AGUGAACGCUGGCGGUAGGCUUAACACAUGCAAGUCGAACGGCAGCACAGUAAGAGCUUGCUCUUACGGGUGGCGAGUGGCGGACGGGUGAGGAAUACAUCGGAAUCUACUUUUUCGUGGGGGAUAACGUAGGGAAACUUACGCUAAUACCGCAUAUGACCUACGGGUGAAAGCAGGGGAUCUUCGGACCUUGUGCGAUUGAAUGAGCCGAUGUCGGAUUAGCUAGUUGGCGGGGUAAAGGCCCACCAAGGCGACGAUCCGUAGCUGGUCUGAGAGGAUGAUCGGCCACACUGGAACUGAAACACGGUCCAGACUCCUACGGGAGGCAGCAGUGGGGAAUGUUGGGCAAUGGGCGCAAGCCUGAUCCAGCCAUACCGCGUGGGUGAAGAAGGCCUUCGGGUUGUAAAGCCCUUUUGUUGGUAAAGAAAAGCAGCAGGUUAAUACGCCGCUGUUCUGACGGUACCCAAAGAAUAAGCACCGGCUAACUUCGUG